Molecule: ribosomal RNA, 497 nt
Filed under: uncultured bacterium
Lineage: Bacteria
Description: partial 16S ribosomal RNA
Rfam family: Bacterial small subunit ribosomal RNA
Source: RNAcentral
GACGAACGCUGGCGGCGUGCCUAACACAUGCAAGUCGAACGGUGACGCGCCUUCCUUUUUGGUGGGUGUGGAGGAGUGGCGAACGGGGGAGUAACACGUUAGUAACCUGCCCCCUUCUUCUGGAUAACCGCAUGAAAGUGUGGCUAAUACAGGAUAUUCUGGGUCUGUCGCAUGAUGGGUCUGGGAAAGAUAUUGUUUCGGUGGGGGAUGGGCUCGCGGCGUAUCAGCUUGUUGGUGGGGUUAUGGCCUACCAAGGCGGUGACGGAUAGCCGGCCUGGAGGGGUGGUCGGCCACAUUAGGAGUGAGACACGACGCAAACUCCUACGGGGGGCAGCAGUAGGGAGUCUUCCGCAAUGGUCGGAAGUAGGACGAAGCAGCGCCGCGGGGGUAGAGAAGGUGUUCGGAGCGUAGAACUCUGUUGUUGGAAGAGAAGAAGGGCUGGAGUGUCUGUUAGUGGCUUGACGGUAUCUAAAUAAAAAGCGACGGCUAACUACGUG